RNA transcript from Homo sapiens (human), 2236 nucleotides. It is a transcript of the gene named ubiquitin conjugating enzyme E2 F (putative), with no coding region annotated. The record is from RefSeq and is marked validated. Lineage: Eukaryota; Metazoa; Chordata; Mammalia; Primates; Hominidae. The transcript is spliced from 11 exons.
ACUUCCGGUCCCGCCGCCGGGAGCCGGUGCGGCUGUGAGGGGCCGCGUCUCGCAGCAGCCGCCCGGACCGGGCAUGGUGUUGGGCGCCGGGCCCGCCUCGCCUGUCUCGGGGAGCCCAGGGUAAAGGCAGCAGUAAUGCUAACGCUAGCAAGUAAACUGAAGCGUGACGAUGGUCUCAAAGGGUCCCGGACGGCAGCCACAGCGUCCGACUCGACUCGGAGGGUUUCUGUGAGAGACAAAUUGCUUGUUAAAGGUCAAAGCCUACGGCGAAUCUUGUGAAAAAUUAGUUCUCUUCACGGAAUUAAUAACAUAUAGUGUUCUAGAGUUUUCGUGACUUCUGCUAUCCAUGUUGAGGUUGCAGAACUUGAAGCUAAUUUACCUUGUACAUGUAAAGUGCAUUUUCCUGAUCCAAACAAGCUUCAUUGUUUUCAGCUAACAGUAACCCCAGAUGAGGGUUACUACCAGGGUGGAAAAUUUCAGUUUGAAACUGAAGUUCCCGAUGCGUACAACAUGGUGCCUCCCAAAGUGAAAUGCCUGACCAAGAUCUGGCACCCCAACAUCACAGAGACAGGGGAAAUAUGUCUGAGUUUAUUGAGAGAACAUUCAAUUGAUGGCACUGGCUGGGCUCCCACAAGAACAUUAAAGGAUGUCGUUUGGGGAUUAAACUCUUUGUUUACUGAUCUUUUGAAUUUUGAUGAUCCACUGAAUAUUGAAGCUGCAGAACAUCAUUUGCGGGACAAGGAGGACUUCCGGAAUAAAGUGGAUGACUACAUCAAACGUUAUGCCAGAUGAUAAAAGGGGACGAUUGCAGGCCCAUGGACUGUGUUACAGUUUGUCUCUAACAUGAAACAGCAAGAGGUAGCCCCCUCUCCCGUCCUCAUGCUCCCUCUCAGUCCCCUGGAUUGCCCCAGUCCUGUGACCAUGUUGCCCUGAAGAAGACCAUCUUCAUGACUGCUCAUUGUAGAUGGAGAAUUCAACAUAAAUACAGCAAGAAAAUGUGUUUGGGCUUCUGAAGAGUUGUCUGCUUACCUUAACAUGUUUACUUUUUUGAACUUGUACUGUAUAGGCUGUUGGUGAAAUUCUUAAGAAGUUGUAAUGAACUCAAAAUUGAGGCCAGAGCUUGCUUUCCCUUUUCCCAAACAAAAUUGGUUUUCUGCACAAGCGAUGCUAAUGAUGUGUUCAGUGUAACUCGCAGAUUGGCAAUAAGAUACCCGCUACAAACUGUGAUUGGAUGCAAAAUCUCUUAGCUUCUUUCACGAAUGUUGGCCCUGCCUAGAUGUUGUGAAGCCUCCCAGAAUGCAUAGAGUCAUUCACUGUAGAUCUCUUAUUGAAAUGCGUAUUUUAUUUAAUGUAAGUAUAUUUUGGAACAGAUUUGUAAUUUGUACAAUUCAAUGCUUUAAUUAUUUUUUCUAUUCUCAUUUAGUUUGUAUUUUCAUUGUAUAGAGCAGACAGAAAGAUGUUGGGUCAAGCAACUAUUGAAGAGAAAUACAAAGAAAAUAUGAAAGGCACAUUAUUCAUUUUGUCCAAAUGCAAUGAGAAUCUCACUCUUAAAAAUCAGCUCUUGCUUUCGGGUCCGGAUGUGGUGAGCACAUUUUGGAGCCCUUUGAAGCUAGAUUUGGAUGAUCAAAACAAAAAGGCAGGGAGCCCAUUCUAACAUGCUGCCCAGAGGAAACUGGCUGGAGCCUGGACCAGCUGGGGUUGAUGCUUUUGCAGUGGUCAUGUGAUUGUGACCUGGUAGCUACUUAUCAGAGAGCCAGACCCUGCUGUCCUGGGAGACAGGAGCGAUGCCUCAGGAAUCAGCCCAAUGUCUGAUGUCACUGAGACUGUACCUGUGGCCUUCUUCUGAGUUUGCUAUGGCUCCAGGCCCUGCCGGUGGGGUGAGCCUCCUAGGCCUUGGAGGACCAGGAGUCAACAGUGGCAUAUGCCAUCCUCGGCCAGGUUAAUAUACUGCAGAGGAAAAGCCCUGAAGAGAGGCAAGUGGAUUUACUCCAGCAUGUAGACAUUUGAACCAGUGAAAUCAAACACAAAAUAAAUGUCUGUCUAGUUUCAUUUGCUGCCUGCCUAACACUCUCAAACUUAACUGCCAGCUUCCUUAGACCUCUGGAUUCCCCCAUCUGCCAUCUACUGGGUUUAGUUUGUUUUUCUUAAUUUAUAGAAUCUCUGAUUGUGAGAUCAGUCUGUCACGGAGACCCAGCAGGUGAGGAAUGUAGGCCUUGCUUCCUCUUUGCACCCAUUA